Molecule: ribosomal RNA, 1355 nt
Filed under: uncultured bacterium
Lineage: Bacteria
Description: bacterial SSU rRNA
Rfam family: Bacterial small subunit ribosomal RNA
Source: RNAcentral
AUUGAACGCUGGCGGCAGGCUUAACACAUGCAAGUCGAACGAUGAUUAUCUAGCUUGCUAGAUAUGAUUAGUGGCGGACGGGUGAGUAACAUUUAGGAAUCUGCCUAGUAGUGGGGGAUAGCUCGGGGAAACUCGAAUUAAUACCGCAUACGACCUACGGGUGAAAGGGGGCGCAAGCUCUUGCUAUUAGAUGAGCCUAAAUCAGAUUAGCUAGUUGGUGGGGUAAAGGCCUACCAAGGCGACGAUCUGUAACUGGUCUGAGAGGAUGAUCAGUCACACCGGAACUGAGACACGGUCCGGACUCCUACGGGAGGCAGCAGUGGGGAAUAUUGGACAAUGGGGGCAACCCUGAUCCAGCCAUGCCGCGUGUGUGAAGAAGGCCUUUUGGUCGUAAAGCACUUUAAGCAGGGAGGAGAGGCUAAUGGUUAAUACCCAUUAGAUUAGACGUUACCUGCAGAAUAAGCACCGGCUAACUCUGUGCCAGCAGCCGCGGUAAUACAGAGGGUGCGAGCGUUAAUCGGAAUUACUGGGCGUAAAGCGAGUGUAGGUGGCUCAUUAAGUCACAUGUGAAAUCCCCGGGCUUAACCUGGGAACUGCAUGUGAUACUGGUGGUGCUAGAAUAUGUGAGAGGGAAGUAGAAUUCCAGGUGUAGCGGUGAAAUGCGUAGAGAUCUGGAGGAAUACCGAUGGCGAAGGCAGCUUCCUGGCAUAAUAUUGACACUGAGAUUCGAAAGCGUGGGUAGCAAACAGGAUUAGAUACCCUGGUAGUCCACGCCGUAAACGAUGUCUACUAGCCGUUGGGGUCCUUGAGACUUUAGUGGCGCAGUUAACGCGAUAAGUAGACCGCCUGGGGAGUACGGCCGCAAGGUUAAAACUCAAAUGAAUUGACGGGGGCCCGCACAAGCGGUGGAGCAUGUGGUUUAAUUCGAUGCAACGCGAAGAACCUUACCUGGUCUUGACAUAGUGAGAAUCCUGCAGAGAUGCGGGAGUGCCUUCGGGAAUUCACAUACAGGUGCUGCAUGGCUGUCGUCAGCUCGUGUCGUGAGAUGUUGGGUUAAGUCCCGCAACGAGCGCAACCCUUUUCCUUAUUUGCCAGCGGGUUAAGCCGGGAACUUUAAGGAUACUGCCAGUGACAAACUGGAGGAAGGCGGGGACGACGUCAAGUCAUCAUGGCCCUUACGACCAGGGCUACACACGUGCUACAAUGGUAGGUACAGAGGGUUGCUACACAGCGAUGUGAUGCUAAUCUCAAAAAGCCUAUCGUAGUCCGGAUUGGAGUCUGCAACUCGACUCCAUGAAGUCGGAAUCGCUAGUAAUCGCAGAUCAGAAUGCUGCGGUGAAUACGUUCCCGGGCCU